RNAcentral lists this ribosomal RNA (399 nucleotides) under uncultured bacterium. Its description in RNAcentral is "bacterial SSU rRNA". It matches the Rfam family "Bacterial small subunit ribosomal RNA", at positions 357 to 773 of the family's 1533-position model. The record is from RNAcentral.
GGGAAUUUUGCGCAAUGGGGGAAACCCUGACGCAGCAACGCCGCGUGGAGGAUGAAAUCCCCUGGGAUGUAAACUCCUUUCGAUCGGGAAGAUAAUGACGGUACCGAGAGAAGAAGCCCCGGCUAACUUCGUGCCAGCAGCCGCGGUAAUACGAGGGGGGCAAGCGUUGUUCGGAAUUAUUGGGCGUAAAGGGUGCGUAGGCGGUUUGAUAAGUUUGGUGUGAAAUCUAUGGGCUCAACCCAUAGCCUGCACCGAAAACUGUCGGGCUUGAGUAUGGGAGAGGUGAGUGGAAUUUCCGGUGUAGCGGUGAAAUGCGUAGAUAUCGGAAGGAACACCUGUGGCGAAAGCGGCUCACUGGACCAUUACUGACGCUGAUGCACGAAAGCUAGGGGAGCAAAC